GUGAGGAAUAUUGGUCAAUGGGCGAGAGCCUGAACCAGCCAAGUCGCGUGAAGGAAGAAGGAUCUAUGGUUCGUAAACUUCUUUUGCAGGGGAAUAAAGUGCGGGACGUGUCCUGUUUUGUAUGUACCCUGAGAAUAAGGAUCGGCUAACUCCGUGCCAGCAGCCGCGGUAAUACGGAGGAUCCGAGCGUUAUCCGGAUUUAUUGGGUUUAAAGGGUGCGUAGGUGGUUUGAUAAGUCAGCGGUGAAAGUUUGCAGCUUAACUGUAAAAAUGCCGUUGAAACUGUCGGACUUGAGUGUAAAUGAGGUAGGCGGAAUGCGGGGUGUAGCGGUGAAAUGCAUAGAUAUCACGCAGAACUCCGAUUGCGAAGGCAGCUUACUAAGCUACAACUGACACUGAAGCACGAAAGCGUGGGGAUCAAACAGGAUUAGAAACCCGAGUAGUCC
Molecule: ribosomal RNA, 445 nt
Filed under: uncultured bacterium
Lineage: Bacteria
Description: partial 16S ribosomal RNA
Rfam family: Bacterial small subunit ribosomal RNA
Source: RNAcentral